GGCUGUAAGGCUUAAAAAUAAUAGUAAGAAAGUGGUGUAGAGUAGAGUGGUAGAAGGAUUCGGCUAUGUAGAAAAGAAGAGAAGAAAAUAGAUGGAGAGAAAAACAAAGAAAUGAAGAGGAGGAAGGAUGGUCAGAAAACGGCACAACUUACCCCUAAUGCGGAACUUAUCCUUGGCAUUUGACCUAGCCGAAACUAGCCCCCUAAAGAAAAACCUUUGGCCAGCCAACUCUUGCUCCUCAAGAGUCCACCAUUCGGCCAACACUACUCUCCCUAAUUAGCUCCUAAAUCCUCUCCCUUAUCCCCUCCUUACUCAAUCACCUGAGCAAC
This 329-nucleotide long non-coding RNA is filed under the name Gossypium barbadense (sea-island cotton). RNAcentral describes it as "long non-coding RNA (GBAR_LNC009135)". The record is from RNAcentral. Lineage: Eukaryota; Viridiplantae; Streptophyta; Magnoliopsida; Malvales; Malvaceae.